RNAcentral lists this unclassified non-coding RNA (381 nucleotides) under uncultured delta proteobacterium. RNAcentral's name for it is "contains 16S-23S intergenic spacer region". Lineage: Bacteria; Deltaproteobacteria. The record is from RNAcentral.
UCCGGUUUAACACCGGCAGUCUCUCUAGAGUGCCCGGCCGAACCGCUGGCAACUAGAGACAAGGGUUGCGCUCGUUGCGGGACUUAACCCAACAUCUCGCGACACGAGCUGACGACAGCCAUGCAGCACCUGGACAUCCCAUUCCCCGAAGGGCACAUCCACAUCUCUGCAGACUUUGGGAGGGUUCCAACCCAGGUAAGGUUUUUCGUGUUGCGUCGAAUUAAACCACAUACUCCACCGCUUGUGCGGGCCCCCGUCAAUUCCUUUGAGUUUUAAUCUUGCGACCGUACUCCCCAGGCGGGGCACUUAAUGCGUUAGCUGCGGCACCCAUGGGGUCAAUACCCCGGACACCUAGUGCCCAUCGUUUACAGCGUGGACUAC